AGAUUAAACUGAAGAGUUUGAUCCUGGCUCAGAUUGAACGCUAGCGGCAUGCCUUACACAUGCAAGUCGAACGGCAGCGCGGACUUCGGUCUGGCGGCGAGUGGCGAACGGGUGAGUAAUGCAUCGGAACGUGCCCAGUAGCGGGGGAUAACUACGCGAAAGCGUAGCUAAUACCGCAUACGCCCUACGGGGGAAAGGGGGGGAUCGCAAGACCUCUCACUAUUGGAGCGGCCGAUGUCGGAUUAGCUAGUUGGUGGGGUAAAGGCCUACCAAGGCAACGAUCCGUAGCUGGUUUGAGAGGACGACCAGCCACACUGGGACUGAGACACGGCCCAGACUCCUACGGGAGGCAGCAGUGGGGAAUUUUGGACAAUGGGGGCAACCCUGAUCCAGCCAUGCCGCGUGUGCGAAGAAGGCCUUCGGGUUGUAAAGCACUUUUGGCAGGAAAGAAACGGCGCCGGAUAAUACCUGGCGUAACUGACGGUACCUGCAGAAUAAGCACCGGCUAACUACGUGCCAGCAGCCGCGGUAAUACGUAGGGUGCAAGCGUUAAUCGGAAUUACUGGGCGUAAAGCGUGCGCAGGCGGUUCGGAAAGAAAGAUGUGAAAUCCCAGGGCUCAACCUUGGAACUGCAUUUUUAACUCCCGAACUAGAGUGUGUCAGAGGGGGGUGGAAUUCCACGUGUAGCAGUGAAAUGCGUAGAUAUGUGGAGGAACACCGAUGGCGAAGGCAGCCCCCUGGGAUAACACUGACGCUCAUGCACGAAAGCGUGGGGAGCAAACAGGAUUAGAUACCCUGGUAGUCCACGCCCUAAACGAUGUCAACUAGCUGUUGGGUUCUUCGGAGCUUGGUAGCGCAGCUAACGCGUGAAGUUGACCGCCUGGGGAGUACGGUCGCAAGAUUAAAACUCAAAGGAAUUGACGGGGACCCGCACAAGCGGUGGAUGAUGUGGAUUAAUUCGAUGCAACGCGAAAAACCUUACCUACCCUUGACAUGUCUGGAAUCCUGAAGAGAUUUAGGAGUGCUCGAAAGAGAACCGGAACACAGGUGCUGCAUGGCCGUCGUCAGCUCGUGUCGUGAGAUGUUGGGUUAAGUCCCGCAACGAGCGCAACCCUUGUCAUUAGUUGCUACGAAAGGGCACUCUAAUGAGACUGCCGGUGACAAACCGGAGGAAGGUGGGGAUGACGUCAGGUCCUCAUGGCCCUUAUGGGUAGGGCUUCACACGUCAUACAAUGGUCGGGACAGAGGGCAGCCAACCCGCGAGGGGGAGCCAAUCCCAGAAACCCGAUCGUAGUCCGGAUUGCAGUCUGCAACUCGACUGCAUGAAGUCGGAAUCGCUAGUAAUCGCGGAUCAGCAUGUCGCGGUGAAUACGUUCCCGGGUCUUGUACACACCGCCCGUCACACCAUGGGAGUGGGUUCUACCAGAAGUAGGUAGCCUAACCGUAAGGAGGGCGCUUACCACGGUAGGGUUCAUGACUGGGGUGAAGUCGUAACAAGGUAGCCGUAUCGGAAGGUGCGGCUGGAUCACCUCCUUUC
RNAcentral lists this ribosomal RNA (1537 nucleotides) under Pigmentiphaga sp. H8. RNAcentral's name for it is "bacterial SSU rRNA". It matches the Rfam family "Bacterial small subunit ribosomal RNA". The record is from RNAcentral. Lineage: Bacteria; Pseudomonadati; Pseudomonadota; Betaproteobacteria; Burkholderiales; Alcaligenaceae.